Molecule: ribosomal RNA, 456 nt
Filed under: uncultured bacterium
Lineage: Bacteria
Description: bacterial SSU rRNA
Rfam family: Bacterial small subunit ribosomal RNA
Source: RNAcentral
UACGGGAGGCAGCAGUGGGGAAUAUUGCACAAUGGGCGAAAGCCUGAUGCAGCUAUGCCGCGUGUAUGAAGAAGGCCUUAGGGUUGUAAAGUACUUUCAUCGGGGAGGAAAAACAAAACUAAUAAUUUUAUUUCUUGACGUUACCCGAAAAAGAAGCACCGGCUAACUCCGUGCCAGCAGCCGCGGUAAUACGGAGGGUGCUAGCGUUAAUCAGAAUUACUGGGCGUAAAGAGCACGUAGGUGGUUUUUUUAAGUCAGAUGUGAAAUCCCUGGGCUUAACCUGGAAACUGCAUUUUGAAACUGAAAUACUAGAGUAUCGUAGAGGGAGGUAGAAUUCUAGGUGUAGCGGUGAAAUGCGUAGAUAUCUGGAGGAAUACCUGUGGCGAAAGCGGCCUCCUAAACGAAUACUGACACUGAGGUGCGAAAAGCGUGGGGAGCAAACAGGGAUUAGAUACC